Molecule: transfer RNA, 71 nt
Filed under: Pteridium revolutum
Lineage: Eukaryota; Viridiplantae; Streptophyta; Polypodiopsida; Polypodiales; Dennstaedtiaceae
Description: tRNA-Cys
Rfam family: tRNA
About the family: Transfer RNA (tRNA) molecules are approximately 80 nucleotides in length.
Source: RNAcentral
AACUAGGUAACAUAAUGGCAAUGUGUUGGACUACAAAUCCUGGAAUGACGGUUCGACUCCGUCCCUAGUUU